GAACGCUGGCGGCGUGCUUAACACAUGCAAGUCGAGCGGUAAGGCCCUUCGGGGUACACGAGCGGCGAACGGGUGAGUAACACGUGGGUGAUCUGCCUCGCACUCUGGGAUAAGCCUGGGAAACUGGGUCUAAUACCGGAUAUGACCACGGAUCGCAUGGUUUGUGGUGGAAAGAUUUAUCGGUGCGAGAUGGGCCCGCGGCCUAUCAGCUUGUUGGUGGGGUAAUGGCCUACCAAGGCGACGACGGGUAGCCGACCUGAGAGGGUGACCGGCCACACUGGGACUGAGACACGGCCCAGACUCCUACGGGAGGCAGCAGUGGGGAAUAUUGCACAAUGGGCGAAAGCCUGAUGCAGCGACGCCGCGUGAGGGAUGACGGCCUUCGGGUUGUAAACCUCUUUCGACAGGGACGAAGCGCAAGUGACGGUACCUGUAGAAGAAGCACCGGCCAACUACGUGCCAGCAGCCG
RNAcentral lists this ribosomal RNA (469 nucleotides) under Nocardia nova. RNAcentral describes it as "bacterial SSU rRNA". It matches the Rfam family "Bacterial small subunit ribosomal RNA", at positions 31 to 517 of the family's 1533-position model. Lineage: Bacteria; Bacillati; Actinomycetota; Actinomycetes; Mycobacteriales; Nocardiaceae. The record is from RNAcentral.